ACUCCUACGGGAGGCAGCAGUGGGGAAUAUUGCACAAUGGGGCAGCCAGCAUGCUCAGCCAUGCCGCGUGUAUGAAGAAGGCCUUCGGGUUGUAAAGUACUUUCAGCAGUGAGGAAGGUGGGUAUGUUAAUAGCAUACUCAUUUGACGUUAGCUGCAGAAGAAGCACCGGCUAACUCCGUGCCAGCAGCCGCGGUAAUACGGAGGGUGCGAGCGUUAAUCGGAAUUACUGGGCGUAAAGCGCAUGCAGGUGGUUUGUUAAGUCAGAUGUGAAAGCCCGGGGCUCAACCUCGGAAUUGCAUUUGAAACUGGCAAACUAGAGUACUGUAGAGGGGGGUAGAAUUUCAGGUGUAGCGGUGAAAUGCGUAGAGAUCUGAAGGAAUACCGGUGGCGAAGGCGGCCCCCUGGACAGAUACUGACACUCAGAUGCGAAAGCGUGGGAGCAAACAGGAUUAGAUACCCUGGUAGACAUCA
RNAcentral lists this ribosomal RNA (472 nucleotides) under uncultured bacterium. Its description in RNAcentral is "bacterial SSU rRNA". It matches the Rfam family "Bacterial small subunit ribosomal RNA", at positions 335 to 799 of the family's 1533-position model. The record is from RNAcentral.